UACGAAGGGGGCUAGCGUUGCUCGGAAUCACUGGGCGUAAAGCGCACGUAGGCGGCUUUCUAAGUCAGGGGUGAAAUCCUGGAGCUCAACUCCAGAACUGCCUUUGAUACUGGAGAGCUUGAGUCCGGAAGAGGUGAGUGGAACUGCGAGUGUAGAGGUGAAAUUCGUAGAUAUUCGCAAGAACACCAGUGGCGAAGGCGGCUCACUGGCCCGGUAUUGACGCUGAGGCGCGAAAGCUAGGGGAGCAAACGGG
RNAcentral lists this ribosomal RNA (253 nucleotides) under uncultured bacterium. RNAcentral describes it as "partial 16S ribosomal RNA". It matches the Rfam family "Bacterial small subunit ribosomal RNA", at positions 524 to 776 of the family's 1533-position model. The record is from RNAcentral.